This is a long non-coding RNA of Bos taurus (domestic cattle), 1446 nucleotides long. The record is from Ensembl. NCBI's taxonomy places the organism in Eukaryota, Metazoa, Chordata, Mammalia, Artiodactyla, Bovidae.
GUUGCAUUGUGUCCCACUCCACCCCCCACAUUCAUAUGUCAAAGUCCAGGUGCCUCAGAAUGUAGCCUUAUUUGGAAAUAGGGUUAUUGCAGGUGUAAUUAGUUAAGAUUAUACUGGAAUAGAGUGGGCCUCUAAACCAUUGUGAUUGUUGCCUAAAAGGGUAUGUCUGGACACAGACAUGCAUAGAGGGAGAAUACCACAUGAAGAGAAAGGCAAAGAUUAGGUGAUUCAGCAGAAGUCACAGGAUGUCAAAGAUUGCCAGCAAAACUACCAGAUGCUAGGAGAGAGGAGGCAUGGAACAGAUUCCUCCCUCCCAACUCUUAGAAGGAACCAGCUCCGCCCACACUUUGAUCUUGGACUUCUGGCCUCCAGAACAGAGAGAAGAUAAAUUUCUAAGUCACCCAGUGUGUGGUAUUUUGCUAUGGCAGACCUAGGAAACUAAUAUACUUGGGGACGCAGAUUCAUGUCAACAGAUAAACAGCCUAUAACUAGUUGCAUCACGCCAGGUCUUCAGUUUUCAUUGCACCACGUGGGAUCUACUUCCAUGACGAGAGAUCGAACCCGGCCCUCUGCACUGGGAGCAUGGAGUCUUAGCCACUGGACCACCAGAGAAGUCUCCAUAUGUCAUCUUUUUUACAUGAAAUAAAUUUCUAGCAUAACAAAAUGUCCUAGGCUCCUCUGGAACUUUUUCAGACCUGAAAUCAAUUGUUUUAUCAAGAAGCCUGGUUCUUUUAGCGGGGAAUGACAUUUAGAAACCAGUAUCUGGGCACUCAACAGGUGUCUUUUACUGAGACUCUCUUUCUCUUUGAAUGUCUAGAAAAUGUCUUCAUUUUGCCCUAAUGCUUGAAUGAGUUUGACUAGUGAAACAAAUUCUAAGUUAGCAAUUCCUUUUCCUCAGCGCUUUGAAAAUAGCAUUGUUGUCUGGCAUGAUAAGAAAUUUGCUGUCCGUCUAAUCGUCUCUUCUGUAUAGUAAUCUUUUCUUCCAUGAUGGCUAUUAAACCUUUUUCUUUAUACUUAUUAUUGUACAAUUUCACUUCAAUGUAACCAGAUGUGAAUUUAUUUUUACUUAUCUUGCUUGAUACUCACCAUGUACGUUUCAUAUGGAGACUCAUAUUUUUCUUCAAUUCUAAAAAACUUUCAACUAUUUUUAUAGCUUUAUUGAGAUAUAAUUUACAUACCAUUAAAUUCACCAAAGUAUGCAAUUCAGUGGUUUUUAGUUUAUUCACAAAGCUAUAUAAUCAUCACCACUAUCUAAGCACAGAAUAUUUUCAACACAGCAAAAAGAAAUCCCAUACGCAUCAGCAGUCCUUUCCCAUUCCUCCCUUCCCCAGUUCCCUAGCAACCAGUAACCUACUUUCUAUCUUGAUAUAUUUGCCUAUUCUGGACAUUACAAAUAAAUUAAAUCAUGUGAUACAUGAGUUUUUCUGUCUUGCCUUUUUCACUUAG